This 74-nucleotide transfer RNA is filed under the name Perkinsus olseni. It matches the Rfam family "tRNA". Rfam says of the family: Transfer RNA (tRNA) molecules are approximately 80 nucleotides in length. Their secondary structure includes four short double-helical elements and three loops (D, anti-codon, and T loops). Further hydrogen bonds mediate the characteristic L-shaped molecular structure. tRNAs have two regions of fundamental functional importance: the anti-codon, which is responsible for specific mRNA codon recognition, and the 3' end, to which the tRNAs corresponding amino acid is attached (by aminoacyl-tRNA synthetases). tRNAs cope with the degeneracy of the genetic code in two manners: having more than one tRNA (with a specific anti-codon) for a particular amino acid; and 'wobble' base-pairing, i.e. permitting non-standard base-pairing at the 3rd anti-codon position. Lineage: Eukaryota; Perkinsozoa; Perkinsida; Perkinsidae. The record is from Rfam by way of RNAcentral.
GCUCUAGUAACUCAAUCGGAUGGAGCGUUGGACAUCUAAUCCAAAAGUUGCAGAUUCAAGUAUCGCCUAGAGUA